CUGCCCACUGAUUUUAUUAAAGGGCUGCAGUAAAUUGACUGUACAAAGGUAGCAUAAUAAUUAGUCUUUUAAUUGAAGACUUGUAUGAAUGAUUUAAUGAAAUAUAAACUGUCUCUUUUUUAUAGUUAAAAAUUAAUUUUUUAGUAAAAAAGCUAAAAUUUUUUUAAAAGACGAGAAGACCCUAUAGAGUUUUAUAUUUAAUUUAAUUAUAAUUUUUUAUUAAUAUUAAAUAAAAAUUAAUUAAAAUAUUUUAUUGGGGUGAUAAAAAAAUAUAAUAAACUUUUUUUAUAAUAUAUAUAUAUAUAUAUAUAUAUAACAUUAAUUUAUGAAAAUAUGAUCCAUAAUUUAUGAUUAUAAGAAAAAAUUACCUUAGGGAUAACAGCGUAAUUUUUUUUUUUAGUUCAAAUAAAAAGAAAAGUUUGCGACCUCGAUGUUGGAUUAAGAUAAAAUUUAAAUGUAGAAGUUUAAAAUUU
This 473-nucleotide ribosomal RNA is filed under the name Halpe nephele. Its description in RNAcentral is "partial 16S ribosomal RNA". The stretch from base 1 to 115 matches the Rfam family "Archaeal large subunit ribosomal RNA", at positions 1951 to 2099 of the family's 2987-position model. Lineage: Eukaryota; Metazoa; Arthropoda; Insecta; Lepidoptera; Hesperiidae. The record is from RNAcentral.